GCGAACGGGUGAGUAACACGUGAGCAACCUGCCCCUGACUCUGGGAUAAGCGGUGGAAACGCCGUCUAAUACCGGAUACGACCUUUCAGCUCAUGCUGGAGGGUGGAAAGUUUUAUCGGUCAGGGAUGGGCUCGCGGCCUAUCAGCUUGUUGGUGGGGUAAAGGCCUACCAAGGCGAUUACGGGUAGCCGGCCUGAGAGGGCGACCGGCCACACUGGGACUGAGACACGGCCCAGACUCCUGCGGGAGGCAGCAGUGGGGAAUAUUGCACAAUGGGCGAAAGCCUGAUGCAGCGACGCCGCGUGGGGGAUGACGGCCUUCGGGUUGUAAACCUCUUUUACCACCAACGCAGGCUCCACGUUCUCGUGGGGUUGACGGUAGGUGGGGAAUAAGGACCGGCUAACUACGUGCCAGCAGCCGCGGUAAUACGUAGGGUCCGAGCGUUGUCCGGAAUUAUUGGGCGUAAAGAGCUCGUAGGCGGCGUGUCACGUCUGCUGUGAAAGACCGGGGCUUAACUCCGGUUCUGCAGUGGAUACGGGCAUGCUAGAGGUAGGUAGGGGAGACUGGAAUUCCUGGUGUAGCGGUGAAAUGCGCAGAUAUCAGGAGGAACACCGGUGGCGAAGGCGGGUCUCUGGGCCUUACCUGACGCUGAGGAGCGAAAGCAUGGGGAGCGAACAGGAUUAGAUACCCUGGUAGUCCAUGCCGUAAACGUUGGGCGCUAGGUGUGGGGACUUUCCACGGUUUCCGCGCCG
This 751-nucleotide ribosomal RNA is filed under the name Nocardiopsis sp. EGI80363. RNAcentral's name for it is "bacterial SSU rRNA". It matches the Rfam family "Bacterial small subunit ribosomal RNA", at positions 98 to 848 of the family's 1533-position model. The record is from RNAcentral. Lineage: Bacteria; Bacillati; Actinomycetota; Actinomycetes; Streptosporangiales; Nocardiopsidaceae.